RNAcentral lists this ribosomal RNA (447 nucleotides) under uncultured bacterium. RNAcentral's name for it is "bacterial SSU rRNA". It matches the Rfam family "Bacterial small subunit ribosomal RNA", at positions 355 to 825 of the family's 1533-position model. The record is from RNAcentral.
UGGGGAAUAUUGGACAAUGGGCGCAAGCCUGAUCCAGCCAUGCUGCGUGAGUGACGAAGGCCUUAGGGUUGUAAAGCUCUUUUGGCGGGGAAGAUAAUGACGGUACCCGCAGAAUAAGCUCCGGCUAACUUCGUGCCAGCAGCCGCGGUAAUACGAAGGGAGCUAGCGUUGUUCGGAAUCACUGGGCGUAAAGCGCACGUAGGUGGGCAGUUAAGUCAGGGGUGAAAGCCCGAGGCUCAACCUCGGAAUUGCCUCUGAUACUGGCUGUCUAGAGUUCGAGAGAGGUGAGUGGAAUUCCUAGUGUAGAGGUGAAAUUCGUAGAUAUUAGGAAGAACACCGGUGGCGAAGGCGGCUCACUGGCUCGAUACUGACACUGAGGUGCGAAAGCGUGGGGAGCAAACAGGAUUAGAUACCCCCGUAGUCCCUGAGCGGGCUGGCAAGGCGCAU